Molecule: ribosomal RNA, 599 nt
Filed under: uncultured Planctomycetota bacterium
Lineage: Bacteria; Pseudomonadati; Planctomycetota
Description: bacterial SSU rRNA
Rfam family: Bacterial small subunit ribosomal RNA
Source: RNAcentral
AGUAACGUUGGCGGCGUGGAUUACGCAUGCCAUCACGAGCGAGAAGCCUUCUUCGCGCAAGGUGGCACAGCGGCGAAAGGGAGAGUAACGCGUAGGUACGUACCUUAAGGUCCGGGACAACCUUCCUAACGGAGGGCUAAUACCGGAUAAUCUGUCCGCAGCAAAGUGUGUGAUUCCGCCUUGAGAGCGACCUGCGUCCUAUUAAGUAGUUGGUGGGGUAAAGGCCUACCAAGCCGAAAGAUGGGUACCGGGUGUGAGAGCAUGGCCCGGCUCACUGGGACUGAGACACUGCCCAGACACCUACGGGUGGCUGCAGUCGAGAAUCUAUCCGCAAUGGACGCAAGAUCUGACGGAGCGACGCCGACGAUGCGGGAUUAAGGCCUUCGAGGUUGUAAACCGACUGUCAGAGAGGCGGAAAUGCAUAGUGGCUAUCCAUUAUGUUUGACCUAAUCUCACAGGAAGUGCACGGCUAACGUUCGUGCCAGCAGCGCAGAGUAAUACCGAACUGAACAAAACGUUAUUACGGAAUCACUGGGCUUAAAAGAGUCCAGUAGGCGGCAUGGUAGUAGAGGUGUGAAAUCCCACAGACCAACAUGUGG